RNAcentral lists this ribosomal RNA (492 nucleotides) under uncultured bacterium. RNAcentral describes it as "partial 16S ribosomal RNA". It matches the Rfam family "Bacterial small subunit ribosomal RNA", at positions 29 to 507 of the family's 1533-position model. The record is from RNAcentral.
AGUGAACGCUGGCGGUAGGCCUAACACAUGCAAGUCGAACGGCAGCACAGUAAGAGCUUGCUCUUACGGGUGGCGAGUGGCGUACGGGUGAGGAAUACAUCGGAAUCUACUUUUUCGUGGGGGAUAACGUAGGGAAACUUACGCUAAUACCGCAUACGACCUACGGUUGAAAGCAGGGGAUCUUCUGACCUUUUGCGAUUGAAUGCGCCGAUGUCGGAUUAGUUAGUUGGCGGGGUAAAGGCCCACCAAGGCGAGGAUCCGUAGCUGGUCUGAGUGGAUGAUAGGCCACACUGGAACUGGGACACGGUCCAGACUCCUACGGGAGGCAGCAGUGGGGAAUAUUGGACAAUGGGCGCAAGCCUGAUCCAGCCAUACCGCGUGGGUGAAGAAGGCCUUCGGGUUGUAAAGCCCUUUUGUUGGGAAAGAAAAGCAGCAGGUUAAUACCCCGCUGUUCUGACGGUAACCAAAGAAUAAGCACCGGCUAACUUCGUG